This 684-nucleotide ribosomal RNA is filed under the name uncultured bacterium. RNAcentral describes it as "bacterial SSU rRNA". It matches the Rfam family "Bacterial small subunit ribosomal RNA", at positions 21 to 723 of the family's 1533-position model. The record is from RNAcentral.
GGCCGCGGGCAUUCCAUUCAGGCCUAACACAUGCAAGUCGAACGGAAAGGCCCUCCUUGCAGGGUACUCGAGUGGCGAACGGGUGAGUAACACGUGGGUGAUCUGCCCUGCACUUCGGGAUAAGCCUGGGAAACUGGGUCUAAUACCGGAUAGGACCAUCGUUUAGUGUCGGUGGUGGAAAGUUUUUCAGUGCAGGAUGAGCUCGCGGCCUAUCAGCUUGUUGGUGGGGUAAUGGCCUACCAAGGCGUCGACGGGUAGCCGGCCUGAGAGGGUGGACGGCCACAUUGGGACUGAGACACGGCCCAGACUCCUACGGGAGGCAGCAGUGGGGAAUAUUGCACAACGGGCGCUAGCCUGAUGCAGCGACGCCGCGUGGGGGAUGAAGGCCUUCGGGUUGUAAACUCCUUUCAACCAUGACGAAGCAUUAUGUGACGGUAGUGGUAGAAGAAGCACCGGCUAACUACGUGCCAGCAGCCGCGGUAAUACGUAGGGUGCGAGCGUUGUCCGGAAUUACUGGGCGUAAAGAGCUCGUAGGUGGUUUGUCGCGUCGUCUGUGAAAUUCCGGGGCUUAACUCCGGGCGUGCAGGCGAUACGGGCAUAACUUGAGUGCUGUAGGGGAGACUGGAAUUCCUGGUGUAGCGGUGAAAUGCGCAGAUAUCAUGAGGAACACCGAUGGCGAAGGCA